UGGGGAAUAUUGGACAAUGGGCGCAAGCCUGAUCCAGCCAUGCCGCGUGUGUGAAGAAGGCCUUUUGGUUGUAAAGCACUUUAAGCGAGGAGGAGGUUACUUGGAUUAAUACUCUAGGAUAGUGGACGUUACUCGCAGAAUAAGCACCGGCUAACUCUGUGCCAGCAGCCGCGGUAAUACAGAGGGUGCGAGCGUUAAUCGGAUUUACUGGGCGUAAAGCGUGCGUAGGCGGCUUCUUAAGUCGGAUGUGAAAUCCCUGAGCUUAACUUAGGAAUUGCAUUCGAUACUGGGAAGCUAGAGUAUGGGAGAGGAUGGUAGAAUUCCAGGUGUAGCGGUGAAAUGCGUAGAGAUCUGGAGGAAUACCGAUGGCGAAGGCAGCCAUCUGGCCUAAUACUGACGCUGAGGUACGAAAGCAUGGGGAGCAAACAGG
Molecule: ribosomal RNA, 430 nt
Filed under: bacterium
Lineage: Bacteria
Description: partial 16S ribosomal RNA
Rfam family: Bacterial small subunit ribosomal RNA
Source: RNAcentral